UGAACAAGACUGCCAAUGGAGACUGCC
Molecule: non-coding RNA, 27 nt
Filed under: Homo sapiens (human)
Lineage: Eukaryota; Metazoa; Chordata; Mammalia; Primates; Hominidae
Also listed under: 1 other name
Source: RNAcentral